AGACUUACAGCCGGUUUCCGAAACGUUAUUCAAAUCUUCGAUCAUCUAAUCGAGCUGUUAGAUUUGAUCAACUGUUAACCAGUGACGAGUUUCUCAAACGUCGAUCAUCUUAAAAUUAUAUGAUCGUAGAAAAUCGAUUAUCUGACAUACGAUUUGGUAUCGAUACUGUCACAAUCGGCUGUCAUCCUUCAAAAUUUCAUUUUAUAACCAAAAAAUUUCAAUCCAUAGUAAAUAACUACAUAAUUUAUAUAAUUAAAAAAUAUAUUAAAAAUGAGCAAUACCAACGGAAAUCCUCCACGCAAAAAUUAUACUGAGAGAGAGAGAGAAAUGUUUGCUGUUGGAAAUAAUUGGAAAAUACAAGCAUAUUAAAUUGAAAACAAAUAAUGUACCAAUGCUAUGUCCACCAACCAAAACAAUGAAACCUGGGAAGAAAUAGCGCUGAAUUUCCCAGAACUCCCAAGCAGCUGAACACUGCAUAUAUAAACUUAAAAAGGGUCACUAGCCAAAAAGUAGCAGAGGAAAAUAUAAGUGUAUAAAACUUUCGGUUGAUUUAGAGCUAUAUGGAUUAAUUACAUUGCAGAUUCAAAAAUAUAAUGAGCAGAAGGUUUUGGACCAGUUGAAGAGAGACCAAACUGCGGACAAAAAAGACAUACUUGCAACAGGUGGUGGCACAUUUAGGCCUCGUCUCACAGAUGUAGGGGCACAAAUGUUGAGUUUGAUUGGCAAUCAAAUCCAACCUUUACCCAACAGUUGUGACAGUGCAUCUGGUUUCUUCACAUCUGUUGCACAAGACAGUCAAGUGGAAGUAGAUUACCUACAAUUGGAAGACACAUAGCAGACAUCCAAUGUACCCUCUACUUCCACUGUGCUGCUCAGUACACCCACGACAACUGCUGUCCUGCCCAAGAAGACAGCCAAGAUGUCUCAGGCUCGUUCAAAAAAUAAAAAAGUAAAAGAUGUAGGGAGCGAAACCCUUAAUGUAUCUUUUACAAAAAAAAUUGAAACAGCAAGACUAGAAAAAAGAAGUAAGAUAGUAUUUUUCAACAAGAAAAAAAGAAAUUUUAGAAGUAGAGCUUCAAAUAAAAAAAUUCGAUCUCAAUAAAUUAUUCGGUAAUAGUGGUUAGGUAUGUACCUAAUAAAGUAAUUUUAAAUAAAAAUUGUAAUUUCUUUAAAUAAUAAAAUUAAUAAAAAAUG
Molecule: long non-coding RNA, 1194 nt
Organism: Diabrotica virgifera virgifera (western corn rootworm)
Lineage: Eukaryota; Metazoa; Arthropoda; Insecta; Coleoptera; Chrysomelidae
Exons: 4
Source: RefSeq, a predicted model, not a curated record